Molecule: long non-coding RNA, 582 nt
Filed under: Vulpes vulpes (red fox)
Lineage: Eukaryota; Metazoa; Chordata; Mammalia; Carnivora; Canidae
Description: lncRNA (ENSVVUG00000019063.1)
Source: RNAcentral
GUAAUAAAUAUGUGCGUUUGUGAUGUCAACAAUGAGUAUGGUGCCUGUUUGGUCAUGCUGCCCAACCUGCCCAACAUGUGGCAGAAGAAACAGAUGUUGAAAAUGGCAAUCACCAAGGUCCAAAGAAGAGGCCCUCCUAUAAUUUUCUAGAGAAAACCUCCAGAUAUGGUCCCAAAAAAGUGUGGAGGAGACCAAGGAGACAUUUUCUCUGAUAGUAAGACAGAGAAGUUCUGAGAAAAAUAAUUGCUGGCUUGCCUGUCCUUUGCUUCUAAGAGAAUGGGGAGAUGCCACCUGCUUCCUGAUGCAAACAGAGUCUGUAGCCCAUACCUGAGGAAUACGCAAUACAACUUGCUGCCAUUUUUCUCAAAGGAAUUCACUCUUCCCCGGGGCUCUGCAGAUUGUGGAAGUAUCCAACUCCAGAAAACAUCUGUCCCACCAGCCCAGGCCAUGGAGCAAAAUGCGCAGGAAGAAAGUACAGUUUCAGGCAGACAGUAAUAUACCAUAUAGAUUUAACUUCUUUUUAUCACCAAAACAUCACAUACACUAUGCUGCCUCAUUAAAUUUAGCAUAUGGGAAGAAAAU